AUUUUGAGGAAACAAUUUUUUUAGGAGAUAUUUUAAUGCUGGUCUUGGAUAAAUGCCGGUUCUCAUUUGGCUUCUUUUUUUUUUCAUUUGGCUUCUUGGACCCUUGCAAAAUAACUCGCACAAAUAGACUAGCAGCCACCACCCGCAGCCCAAUCCCCAAACCCAUCUUUCCCAAUUCCAUCAUACCCCAAAAAAUCUCUCGAUCAACUCAAAAUCUCAUCCAUUCUCUCAAUUCAGUUCACUUCUUUAGAAUCAAAAGCUCAAAUCCCAGCAACCCAAUUUCUCUCUUUUCUUCAUUAAAAUUAGGAACUUGAGAUUCGCCACCCAAAGGCACAAAGCUACCAUGGUGGUGUUUGACAAAGAAGCGAGCUCAUCCUCACAAACACUCCCGCCUUUUCCUAGAGAAGACACUCCACUUCUAGCCAGACCUCGCAAGCUCUCAUCCCAAGGAAAGACCUUUGCCAACGUCUUCAUAGCCAUAGUGGGUUCAGGCGUGCUGGGUCUUCCGUACACUUUCAAGAAAACCGGAUGGGUCUUCGGCUCUCUCAUGGUCUUCUCUGUGGCUUUCUUCACCUACCACUGUAUGAUGCUCUUAAUUCACACUCGCCGCAAGCUCGAUUCUGUCCAUGGCCUCUCAAAGAUCGCAUCUUUUGGUGACCUGGGCUUCGCUGUGUGUGGCCCAAUUGGACGACUCUCAGUUGACAUCAUGAUCGUGCUUGCUCAGGCUGGUUUCUGUGUGAGCUAUCUAAUUUUUAUAUCAAACACUUUGGCUUUUGUUAUCAACUACUCUGGACCAGAUCGAAUUCUGGGUCUUGCCCCAAAAUCCUUGUACCUUUGGGCUUGUUUUCCAUUUCAGCUGGGAUUGAAUUCGAUUCCCACGCUGACCCAUUUGGCCCCUUUGAGCAUUUUCGCUGAUGUUGUUGAUCUUGGAGCUAUGGGGGUUGUGAUGGUGGAGGAUGUUAUGAUUUUUCUGCAAAAUAGGCCAGCUCUGCAGGCUUUUGGAGGCUUCUCUGUUUUCUUCUAUGGUCUUGGUGUGGCUGUUUAUGCCUUUGAAGGAAUUGGAAUGAUAUUACCACUGGAAUCAGAGGCUAAAGACAAAGAUAAGUUUGGUAAAGUCUUGGCCUCGUGUAUGGCUUUCAUUGCUCUGUUGUAUGGAUCAUUUGGAGUUCUGGGUUACUUUGCUUUUGGUGAAGAUACCAAAGACAUAAUCACCACCAAUUUUGGGCAAGGCUUAGUGAGCACUCUGGUGCAGAUGGGUCUCUGCAUUAACCUCUUCUUCACAUUACCAUUGAUGAUGAACCCUGUUUUCGAAGUGGUGGAGAGAAGGUUCAAUGAUUCUACGUACUGCCUGUGGCUGAGGUGGGUGAUGGUGUUUGUGGUCAGCUUGGUGGCUCUUUUGGUGCCUAAUUUUGCAGACUUUUUGUCGCUGGUUGGGAGCAGUGUGUGUGUUGCUCUGGGCUUUGUGUUGCCUGCUUUGUUUCAUUUGAUGGUGUUCAAGGAAGAACUCAGUUGGCAUGGGAUGCUUUUGGAUGGGGCUAUUGUGGUUCUUGGUGUGGUUAUUGGAGUCUCUGGAACUUGGUCUUCAAUAGCAGAGAUUCUUGCACCCAAAGCCUGAUUUGAUUAGGCAGUUGAUCAAGUAAAUUUUGAUUGCUGUCUCACUAUAUUCUACUGCUACGUUUGCCAAUUAUUUCACCAAUUUUGAUUUUGUGGGUUGCGUUCUGAGAUUUCAGUCUUGCAACUUCGAUGGUCAGCUUUUCAACUUCUAUUUGAAAAUCAAUCAAAAUUGUGUUGGAGAUUGGGUGAUAUCAAAGACGGGUCUAGAAAAAUGUGUACCUUCCUCACUACCUUUGUCCAUUUUCAUGUAGAAAUUGAAGAACUUGGAAGUACUCAACUUUUUGGCACCCAGGGGCUACAACUUUAUGAACAUUUUUUCGUUAAGGUUGUACGGACACCCGUGUCAUGUUGGAAUGAGAAAGAUGUAAUGUAACCCAUGGCAUAUGCAUAAAAUAAGUUAUGCAAAAGCAUGUGAUUGUGCCUA
RNA transcript from Prunus avium (sweet cherry), 2038 nucleotides. It is a transcript of the gene named amino acid transporter AVT3B, with no coding region annotated. The record is from RefSeq and is a predicted model, not a curated record. NCBI's taxonomy places the organism in Eukaryota, Viridiplantae, Streptophyta, Magnoliopsida, Rosales, Rosaceae.